ACCCCCCACCCCCGGUGCGGGUUUGUGCCUCCCGGCGGCGGCAGCAGGACGGGGGGCGCGGAGGAGAAAGCGGCGCUUUGUGCGCGGCGGGUUCCUACCAGAUGUUUGCAGCGGCGCUUUCGGGGGGGAGGCGGCGGGGGGGGGGGGGCUGUAAAAAUCCCGGCUGAAAACAAGAAGCGGGCGCCGGUCCCCCCCCCUCCCCCCCCACCCUCCCAGCACCCGCCGCCGCACCGGGGGCCCGUCCCCGCCCUGAGGUGGUGGUGAAAAGCCCCCCCCCCCCCCCCCCCCCCCCCCCCCCCCCCCCCGAGGUCGCAGCAGCGGUGGUUUCGACUGAACGUCGAGAUUCACUUUCACCCUUCCAAUUUCCCAACGCGUUGAAUUGUGUUCCUGUCAGCCUCGGCACCGCCUCCAGUCCACCCCCAGAGAAAAGCCCCGGGGCCAACACCCUGCUGUGACAGUCACCAAAAUGUCCUGCUAGGGAAAAGCCAACCGCCGCCUCAGGAACGCCACGUUAAUUGGAAAAAAUAUUGAUCCAGCUCUCCCCAGCUUCGUCUCCAAGUGUCCGUAACGUUCCUACCCCACAGCCCCAACUCCUUGAGUGUAACUAUGCAACAACAGCGCAGAUAAAUCCAAUAUUUGUCUGCUUUUAAUAGUUAUGACUGACAGCACAACCUGCCCUGGUGUUAGGGACAGAUGCCGUUACUACGUUUCUGUUUGGAAUGAACACUAACGUACUUCAAGCAUCCGGGUGGUUAUUACAGAAUUGCUGCGUUUUGUGUGGAAUUUAUUAAUUGUUUAUACAUGUCCAUGCUUCUGUAAGUUUAACUUUCCUCAGGUAGUGUGUGAAAAGAUGGGUGGAAGCUAUGUCGGUAUGUUAUACAGCCGCUAGUGUAAGCAAAACAGAGAAAAUACAAUGGACCAAACUUUAAAAAAAAAAAGUCUCCAACUAAACAAAAAAACCCAACUUCUUCCUCUGGAAUGUUUCUGGAAGAUGUUUCAUUGGCUGCAACCAAAAGCUGCAAAAAGUACAGCGUGUAGUAAGUAUUUGCAUUUGUCACCAGAGACAAUCUAUGCAUAAUUAAUGACAGCACUGUGUCACGAGCACGGAUAGGGUGCAGAUGAGCAGCCUUUCAAGGGCAAUACAUGUAAAUGCACUUCCAAUAUGCA
Tyto alba (common barn owl) is the source of this 1167-nucleotide long non-coding RNA. RefSeq lists it as uncharacterized. NCBI's taxonomy places the organism in Eukaryota, Metazoa, Chordata, Aves, Strigiformes, Tytonidae. The transcript has 2 exons. The record is from RefSeq and is a predicted model, not a curated record.